This is a long non-coding RNA of Neofelis nebulosa (Clouded leopard), 762 nucleotides long. RefSeq lists it as uncharacterized. The record is from RefSeq and is a predicted model, not a curated record. NCBI's taxonomy places the organism in Eukaryota, Metazoa, Chordata, Mammalia, Carnivora, Felidae. The transcript has 3 exons.
GGGGAGUGGGUGGGUGCAGGGAGAGCAUAAGAGAGACUUCCAGCUUAGGAGGAGGGGAAGGUUACUGGAGGGGUGAUAAACAGGGUGAAACAGGAAGCUGAGACGGAGAGGACAGUGAAAAACUGUGGCAACCAGAGCUGAGGAACUCCAAAGCUGAGAAUCAUGUGAAAUCUGCUGUGUGCUCCAAGGAGCAGAAAUGGAUUCUGGGUUCACUGUAUCUAGGGAUCCCAUUUGCAUCCUGAACAGUCAAGAGGGCCAAGUCCUUGCUAUCUGAAGGCUGAGAAGGUGUGGAGAGGGUGUCUUCAUGUCUUACCCUUUGACAGACUCUUUUCUGGACACUCCAUUGAUUCUACUAAGGGUGGUUCCUGGUCCUGAUCCAAACCCAAUUAAGUACGGGCUUGGAGAAAAUGUUGAAGCCAUGGAUUUUCUUCAGCAACUUUUCAGCCAGAAACUCCACCAGGAAGCCUCCAAGCCUCUUAAACAGAUGUGCAAAAGACUCUGUGAUCAAAGCAUCCUGUGAUGGGAACUGAGACUACUCCUUCAAAUAACAUGGACUGCCCUGAGCCAGCAAGAUCUGGCAUGAUGGACCCCAAAACAAUGAUGAUCUGACCUUUACUGCCCACCUGCAUGUACCCACUGACCUUUGUCCCACAUUUUCCUUAUAUAAACUUGGAAGUAUUCUCAGCACUUUGGAGACAGUCUUUGAGAUGCUAGCCCACUGUCUUCCUGGUGUUGGCCUCACUGAAAUAAAUUCCUUUCUUG